AAAGGGCUGCAGUUUUAUCACUGUACAAAGGUAGCAUAAUCAUUAGUUUUUUAAUUGGAAACUUGUAUGAAAGAUUUGAUGAAAUAUUAUCUGUCUCUAUUUUAUUAUUAGAAUUUUAUUUUUUAGUGAAAAAGCUAAAAUAAUUUUAAAAGACGAGAAGACCCUAUAGAGUUUUAUAUUUAAUUUUAUUUUAGGUUUUAUAUGAAAAUUAAUAUUAAAAUAAAAUUUAAUAUUGUAUUGGGGUGAUAGAAAAAUUAGGAUAACUUUUUUUAAACAAUAAACAUAAAUAAAUGAUUAAAUGAUCCAUUAAUAAUGAUUAUAAGAAAAAAUUACCUUAGGGAUAACAGCGUAAUAUUUUUUUUUAGUUCAAAUAAAAAAAAA
This 381-nucleotide ribosomal RNA is filed under the name Erebia ottomana benacensis. RNAcentral describes it as "partial 16S ribosomal RNA". Lineage: Eukaryota; Metazoa; Arthropoda; Insecta; Lepidoptera; Nymphalidae. The record is from RNAcentral.